Molecule: long non-coding RNA, 3379 nt
Organism: Panicum virgatum (switchgrass)
Lineage: Eukaryota; Viridiplantae; Streptophyta; Magnoliopsida; Poales; Poaceae
Exons: 2
Source: RefSeq, a predicted model, not a curated record
AACACCGCCGCCGCGCCUGCCACCGGCCGUCGCGCAGUGCCUCUCAGCGUCCCAGCGCCGCCGCGGCCCACCGUCGCCGGGGGGCGAAUCCGACGUCCCCGCCGCGAGGCAGCGCUGCGGUGCCUGAGGCGGCUUCCCGCCUCCUUCAAGCGACACGGCAUCGCAAUCGGGGUGCAAGCUUUUGCAACACCCACCCGAUUCGGCUGCCUUCGCGCCGCCGACGCCGCGCGCCGGAUGGGACCCCGUCCGGCGGCACCAGGGACGCCGGCUCCUCUCACUCUUCGGCACGGUGAUGAGCUGCCUUGAGUUCUUCACCUUCAGCAAAGAGCCGUGUUCAUACCCCGGCGGUAGUAGAUAUGACCCAUUCGCCUUCGCCUGUGCUACCUCACCGGUGUGCUCCCUUGCAGAAAUUAUCUAUGGCGGUCCAAGCCAGGUAAAAAUAAUUUUCGAAGAUGCAGUACCCGAUAUAAAAGAUACAAAGGUAAACUUUCACUCACAUUUGUUGUUCUUUGUGCAUCCAGCAUUUUAUCAAGAAAAUAAUAACUACACACACCUUUUGAGAUGCUAGGUACACUCAUAUAUCAUAUAUGCAUAGAACAAUGAGAGACACAAUAUCAAGACAAUUCAUUAUCGCAGGAAGUCUUGUUUGCUGAACAUUCUUGCUUGCUAAUUAACCCACAAUGGUUAAUCAUACUUUAAUUGAACUGCAAGAUUCGAAAGUGGUGCUAUAUAUUUGUAUUCAUGCAAAAUCUAUAUGUUGAUUGUGUCCUUGUUGCAUGGUAACCAAUCUAAAGUAUGUCCCAGCAGAACCCUUGCUCAUGAGGGAUGCAUGUGUGCCUGUCUCUAGAACAAUCCCUUUCUCAAGCACAGUGAUCACAUCACAGUUUUGGAUGGUGCUAAGCCUGUGUGCGACUACUAGACUGGUCCUACCGACCAGUAUUCUUUCAAGUGCCUCCUGUACCACCAUCUCGGAGUGGCUAUCCAAUGCACUUGUUGCUUCAUCCAAUAGCAAGAUAGCAGGGUUCUUUAAGAUUGCACGAGCAAUCGCAAUGCGCUGCUUUUGACCUCCUGAUAACUGAACACCUCUCUCACCACACCAUGUGUCGUAUCCAUCCUUGAGGCUAGUAAUGAAAUCAUGUGCAUUGGCAUUCCUUGCUGCACUCACAAUUUCUUCCUCAAUGGCUGUUUCAGUGCCAUAUACAAUGUUCUCUCUGAUGGUACCUGCAAAAAGUGUUGGUUCUUGGCUAACCAGUCCGAUGUGUUUUCGUAGGGCUCGUAGGUUAUAUGUUUUGAUGUCUAUGCCAUCGAUCUCUAUAGUCCCAGCAAGGGGAUCAUAGAACCGCUCGAUAAGCCCAAUGAUGGUUGACUUGCCAGACCCACUUUGCCCAACAAGAGCUGUUGACUUACCUGGCUGGAUGCUUAAGGAGAAUCCUUUGAAGAUGAUCACAUCUGGCCUUGAUGAAUACGCAAAAUCAAUUUCUGUAAUGUCCACCUUGCCUUCGAGAUUCUCUGGUUUGUAUCCCUCAGGGUUGUCAGGGUCAAUUUCGGUCUCCCUGUCAAUAAUUGAAAAAAGUGAAGUGAUUGCAUCAGCACCCUUGGCAAGGUCUGUUGUCAUACUACCUGCAUCUGCUAUCACACGUCCUGUGCUUAUCAAAAUCAAGAAGGUUUGAAAUAGGGCCUUGGAAGUAAGGCGAUGCUGAGCCAUGAGUAUCCCACCAUACCAAAAGGCGAGGGCCCAUAUACAUCUCAAAAUGCUCAUGGAGGUGCCGAGCCCCAGACCAGCAAACCAGGACUGCCUGAUACUUUCCUUGCGAGGGCCUUCCUGUGCUUGGUCAAAGAGGCGUAGGAUGCGGUCUUGGGAUGAGAAAGCAGUUACUGUGCGAAGAUUAGCGACUGCCUCAACAGCUAGCUUGCUACAUUCAGAUUGUGCCUGUAAUGAUUUCUUGGACAUGCUCUUUAGUAAGAUACGACGAGCAUAAAAGCAAACAAUGACAAGUGGUUGCACUACAAUCAUCACAAGCGCCAAACGCCAAGCGACUGCGAGACUCAUGAUGCAGGCAAUGAGUACUGCAGAAGUUGUUUGGAUGACAAGGGACAUUCGAUCACCGACGAGCGAUCUCACCUACAAAAAAAAUAUGAUCAUGAAUUAUUCUUCUCUAAUUUCUAAUAAACUUGGUUUCAGUAUUUGAACUUACAACGUUGGCAUCCUGGGCAAGUUGGGAGCAUAUGGCACCACUAGAGUUCUUAUCACUAUCGAACCACCCAAUCUCAAAAGUGAGUAUUUUUGAAAUCAUCUGUUCUCUUAUCCUUUUGGUGAGGUAUUCCCCCAUGACACCGAAGUUGUAAUGUUGCGCAAUAUUGAUCAGGAAUGAGACCAAUGCAAGACCAACGAAGAACAAUGAGUAGAUUCUGGUUUGAUCCUUCAUCUCUUUAUGAUCUGUCAAGAAGUAGAUCGAGACCAUGCUCCCCAUUGCGUAUGCGUACACAGGUUGUAUGCCUCCAACCACAAUUGCACUAAAGCUUCCCAUAAGUGCUUGCUUCCACUCCGGUGCAUUAAGCAUCAAUAGCCUUAUGAAGGAUGGCACAGGAAGCUUUAGCGGCUCAGUUUUGUUGUCAUUACCUUCAGCAUUACCCAUGGAUAGCGUUGGCAUUAUGAUUGACCUGCUUGCUGUGGAUAUCCUCUUGCUCAUACCAUGGCUGCCUGAUUGCUGCAUAAGAGAUGUACUUCUAGUUCUUCCACCAACCUCUUCAGAAUCCACUGUCUCUUUGGUCUGUUGAAGGUGGACAAGAGAUGAGUAGAGGCCAUUCUCAUUGGCAAUGAGCUCAUCAUGGGUUCCCAGCUCCUUGACCUCACCAGACUGCAUGACCGCAAUCGUAUUUGCGUUUUGGAUGGUGGAUAGGCGAUGGGCAAUGACAAUAGUAGUUCGACCAAUGGAGGCCAGUUCAAGCGCCUCCUGCAUAACACGCUCUGAAUUAGUGUCCAAUGCACUGGUGGCUUCAUCAAGGAGAAGGACCUUGGGUGACUUUAUGAUUGCUCUAGCAAUAGCAAUCCUUUGCUUCUGUCCUCCGGACAUUUGGACACCAUGCUCACCCACCUGUUUUAGUUCUAUACAUGGUUAGUGUCCAAGUAUGAGUAGCGUUUUAUGUGUCCAAGUAUGAGUAUCAUUUAUAUUUUUUAGAAGAAGAUAUCUAGUUUCAAGGUCAUUGGUUUCGUGGAUGUAAAACAGACACUUAUCAUGUAAAGCUAGCUAACGCUUGAGGUUGUAAGUUGUAACCAUAUGUAAUUUAUAGUGACCCAAGUUAGCAGUGGCAGCAAGUUAAUUUGUGCAUUCCAAUUGUGACAGCUGUUUAUAUGUUUUUAUAAGAAUAUAUCAGAAUA